RNAcentral lists this long non-coding RNA (2433 nucleotides) under Olea europaea (common olive). RNAcentral's name for it is "long non-coding RNA (OEUR_LNC007288)". Lineage: Eukaryota; Viridiplantae; Streptophyta; Magnoliopsida; Lamiales; Oleaceae. The record is from RNAcentral.
CUUUCCUGUAAAUUGCUCCUCGGAAAUACAUCAAUAUAGACCGUUCAUUGAAUGAUGGUGAGUUAGAAAUCGGGAUCGUUCUCACCAUAUGCUUGUAAGGUGCAAUUACAUCUUUUUCAAGGUUCGCUAGUUUUGUAGGGUAUCUUCCAAAAUCUGAAAGCACGAACAUAGCCGACCCCAACUUAUUUCUUGCAAAUAACAUACUAUUUGGAUGGUGGGCGACAAUCAAGUGAUCCCGCCCACCCAAACGCUUCCACUCUACCCGACCUUUCAAAAACUGCACCAAUUUAUCCUGCAGCAUUCUAUCAACACUAGCUGUUUCAUGUCCUUGGACCUUUGAGUGCCGGUUGUAACUCAGGGACGAGAAAAAGGGUACAAAUAUUACAUCCGCUUCACUUGAAUUCUGCACUCUGAUUGCACUGCAUGGUCUAUCUACAUUUGCAGUAUUUGAUGCAAGAAGAUCCAGAGUAAGCCAAUACUCUGUGCUGUGCUGUAAAUUUAAACCACCAGGAUAUGGUGGAUACCUAUUAGGAAUACUUACACUAGGCCAUGCCUGAUUUGCAUUGCCUUUCCAACCUAACAGCCCGAAGUGAAAAUCAGAGGGCAAGUCAUACAUAUAUACCCUAAGAAGUGCCCGACUUUGGUCACAUACUGACCCAUGGAGUUGUCCCAUUUCAUCCAUAUUCAUCGUGUGACCAGAAACUUGAAAACCCACUUCGUGAAUGUUAGUAUCUUUCAAGUGAAUCGAUGAAUUAUUAUUCAAAAUAAAAUUAAAAACUGAUCUGGCUAUGGAAGAAUUGUCAUAAUUAUUGCUGAACUGAUGAAGGGACAACGACGAGAGGAUCAAAAGAAUCAUCGAAACUGCUAUAACUUGGACGUUCUAAGGUACUUACAGCCUAAACAGAGAACUUAAGAGGAAUGUGAUCUGCUGUAUCUGUUCUUCCGGUGAACACUUAAUUGUGUGGCCGAUUUCUUGCGAGAAACAGUCUGCCAAAUCAUAUCCACAGCAUCACCAGCCUGAGAUGGACACUGAUACUCAAAGUGUCGACUGGCAUUCUUUAAUCUUUCCCACAUUUUCGUCCAGUUCUCUUGCUUAAUCCCUCUGAGUAGAUUCAGAAGAUAACCCUUUUUCAAAGCAUCCGAUGCACGGACAAAUAAACAGAAUUCUGAGUAGUCGAGAACAUCUUCAAAGGGUAGCUCGAUUUCAUCACUGAUUAUUACAGGAACACAAUGACUAGCAAUGGCAUCAAAGAGACGAUUUGAAGAAGGGGUGUCUCCAGCAAUAUUCAGGCAAAAUUUGGAAGAGGCCAUCCCUUUCCCUGCCUGUUUUAUCCCACUAGCCUGAACGCUUCCAAACGCAAAGUAAACGUCUUUCUCGUCUUUAAGUAGGUUGUAUAGUACUUGACGGAUGGCUCCACCCUGAACGCAAAACCCAAAAUCAUAUUCAAAGCAAAUCAACAUUGAUUUUCUUUCAUCUUCUUCUUAAUCCCUAGUUUUUCGUAUUUCUCGUUUCCAUUUUUAUCAUAUUAAGUAAACUUUUAACCGUAAUUCUUUCUUUUCAACUUUACUAGUACUGGCCUACCAAGGAACAGGAAAGUGCUUCACAAAAUAGAUGUCAUGCAGUGUCAUUCAUUUCAUGCACAGAUCUAAUGCAGAUCAUAGUGCUCCAUUUCUGAGUUUUACAAGACCCCAUAUUAUAUAUGUAAGUUUGUGAUCUUCGUAGUCAAAAUGCUGAGCCCCUUAAUAUUAAAAUUUUAUGCCGUUUGCAGUUGUGGCAUUGCGACUGAGGAUUAAAGCCCUACUAAAGAAUCUAUUCCAUAAGUCCUUGCAAAAUUUAUGAAAUUGAAUAGGAAAACAAUCAAUGGCUUACAGGCAAAUAAAAGGCAUUUCACACUUAUAGUUAGAGCUGAUUUUUAGACUAUUGCUAUUUCUUUUGGGAAUCUGUCAAAGUAUAAAAUCCAGUUUAGACUAUAGACGAGAAUGACAUGAUAAUAGAAGAUAUAUGCAGUUGCAUUUCAGAGUAUUCUUCAAUGAGUGACUCAAAUACCAAUAAAUUAAAUGCAUUGAUGUAAAACCCUCAAAAGAUAACUUUCAAAUGUAACUUGGUCUCACAAAACGAACAAAACAAACAAGUAAUUCAUAAUAAGUUGCAAAAGUAUAUACAACUUACAUCUUUCCUGUAAAUUGCUCCUCGGAAAUACAUCAAUAUAGACCGUUCAUUGAAUGAUGGUGAGUUAGAAAUCGGGAUCGUUCUCACCAUAUGCUUGUAAGGUGCAAUUACAUCUUUUUCAAGGUUCGCUAGUUUUGUAGGGUAUCUUCCAAAAUCUGAAAGCACGAACAUAGCCGACCCCAACUUAUUUCUUGCAAAUAACAUACUAUUUGGAUGGUGGGCGACAAUCAAGUGAUCCCGCCCACCCAAACGCUUCCACUCUA